RNAcentral lists this ribosomal RNA (496 nucleotides) under uncultured bacterium. RNAcentral's name for it is "partial 16S ribosomal RNA". It matches the Rfam family "Bacterial small subunit ribosomal RNA", at positions 28 to 507 of the family's 1533-position model. The record is from RNAcentral.
GAUGAACGCUGGCGGCGUGCCUAAUACAUGCAAGUCGAGCGAACAGACGAGGAGCUUGCUCCUCUGACGUUAGCGGCGGACGGGUGAGUAACACGUGGAUAACCUACCUAUAAGACUGGGAUAACUUCGGGAAACCGGAGCUAAUACCGGAUAAUAUAUUGAACCGCAUGGUUCAAUAGUGAAAGACGGUUUUGCUGUCACUUAUAGAUGGAUCCGCGCCGCAUUAGCUAGUUGGUAAGGUAACGGCUUACCAAGGCAACGAUGCGUAGCCGACCUGAGAGGGUGAUCGGCCACACUGGAACUGAGACACGGUCCAGACUCCUACGGGAGGCAGCAGUAGGGAAUCUUCCGCAAUGGGCGAAAGCCUGACGGAGCAACGCCGCGUGAGUGAUGAAGGUCUUCGGAUCGUAAAACUCUGUUAUUAGGGAAGAACAAAUGUGUAUGUAACUAUGCACGUCUGACGGUACCUAAUCAGAAAGCCACGGCUAACUACGUG